This 468-nucleotide ribosomal RNA is filed under the name uncultured bacterium. RNAcentral's name for it is "partial 16S ribosomal RNA". It matches the Rfam family "Bacterial small subunit ribosomal RNA", at positions 28 to 507 of the family's 1533-position model. The record is from RNAcentral.
GACGAACGCUGGCGGCGUGCUUAACACAUGCAAGUCGAACGGAAAGGCCCUGCUUUUGUGGGGUGCUCGAGUGGCGAACGGGUGAGUAACACGUGAGUAACCUGCCCUUGACUAUGGGAUAACUUCAGGAAACUGGGGCUAAUACCGGAUAGGAGCUCCUGCUGCAUGGUGGGGGUUGGAAAGUUUCGGCGGUUGGGGAUGGACUCGCGGCUUAUCAGCUUGUUGGUGGGGUAGUGGCUUACCAAGGCUUUGACGGGUAGCCGGCCUGAGAGGGUGACCGGCCACAUUGGGACUGAGAUACGGCCCAGACUCCUACGGGAGGCAGCAGUGGGGAAUAUUGCACAGUGGGCGGAAGCCUGAUGCAGCAACGCCGCGUGCGGGAUGACGGCCUUCGGGUUGUAAACCGCUUUCGCCUGUGACGAAGCGUGAGUGACGGUAAUGGGUAAAGAAGCACCGGCUAACUACGUG